This 68-nucleotide transfer RNA is filed under the name Brachystomella parvula. Its description in RNAcentral is "tRNA-Trp". The record is from RNAcentral. Lineage: Eukaryota; Metazoa; Arthropoda; Collembola; Poduromorpha; Brachystomellidae.
AUUGUUUUAGGUUAAUAAAACUCUAGACCUUCAAAGUCUGUAAUAAAAAUUAAAUUUUUUAAACUUUA